AGCCUGGGUUCACGCUCGCGCCUCUCCCUCCACACCUCCCUGCAAGCUGAGGGAGCCAGCUCCGGCCUAGGCCAGCCCAGGAAGGGGCUCUCACAGUGCAGCGGCGGGCUGAAAGGCUCCUCAAGUGCCGCCAAAGUGGGAGCCCAGGCAGAGGAGGCGCCGAGAGCGACUGAGGGCUGCCAGCAUGCUGUCACCUCUCACUAGUUUAGGAAAAUUCUGUUGACCUAUAAUGAAGUUUACAGAUUUUUCCUCAUAUCUGUCCAGUCUACGGAUUAGAUCUUCAAAGAGAUGAAAUCCCACUAUUUUGCCCAGGCUCAUCUAUAACUUCUGAGCUCAAGACAUCCUCCUGCUUUGACCUUCCAAAGUGCUGGGAUAGGGGUUUUGUGCAAAUAUCUGCUGAGUGAACUACUUAUUUGAAAAUACAUCAUUGGUUAAUAUUCCCUUUUGCUCAUUGAAAUCUCAAAGACUACAGCCAGAAUGGAGUGUAGUGGCGUGAUCUUGGCUCACAACAACUUCUGCUUCCCACAUUCAAGCGAUCCUCCCACCUUAUACUCCUGAGUAGCUGGAACCACAGACAAACUACAAUAAAGCCAUGCCCUGACUGGAUGUGCCUAACAUUUGUCUGGUGCUUAAAGGAGUUGGCUGCAUGCGUGGAAAUGUUGGAAAGUCACCAAAAAUAGUUCUCCAAGUCAGAAGCGGUGCAAAAGCUGCCUCAGCUCUUGGUGGAUUUUCAAUUUCUCCCAGCCAUCUCUGUUUCGCUAAAGGUUUCUGAAGACAGUGGGUAUGUGGCAAACUUCUGCAAUUCUAUAUUAAGAUAAACUGUUAGAUCAAUUAUGUGUGUCAUAUUAUCUUCCUUCUGCAGAGUUUGAGAAUUAUAUUUCUUACCUGUUUGCUUCAGGGACAACUUGUUUGGAAAAAAAAUCACCCAGGGUUAAACAUCAUAUUCUUUAGAACCCAAAAAGCAUUGAUCCAUUUAUAUCCAGCUUCAAAUACCAUGCUAGUAUUCCCAACUUAAGGGCCACCAUAUUGAUGCAUGCUAAUGUGCCAACAGUUUCAUCCACUAUUUUAUUUUAUUUAUUUAUUUAUUUAUUUGAGAUGGAGUUUUGCUCUGGUCACCCAGGCUGGAGUUCAAUGGCAUGAUCUUGGCUCACUGUCACCUCUGCCUGCUGUGUUCAAGUGAUUCUCCAGCCUCAGCCCUCCCGAGUAGCUGGAAUUAUGGGCGCCCACCACCAUGCCUGGCUAAUUUUUGUAUUUUUAGUAGAGACAGGGUUUCGCCAUGUUGGCCAGACUGAUCUCCAACUCCUGACCUCAGAUGAUUCGCUCACCUCGGCCUCCCAAAGUGCUAGAAUUACAGGCAUGAGCCACAGUGCCUGGCCUCACCCACUAAUUUUUAGACACCAUUAGUGUAAGUGUCAUCAAAAUAAAAAAGACAAAUAAUCUAUUAAUAUUAUGUUACUGUAGUUUUGUCCUCACAGACCCUCAGGUAGCUUCUGGGGACCAUCAUGGUCCCACAGACCAUUCUUUGAGAAUUGCUAUCACAGAGAAAAUAAACCUUUGACACAUCAUAACUGCACUCUAAAUAUAGGAUUUGUAUAUGCUGAAGAAUUUCAAUAAAGAUCUGGAACAGCAGC
This 1631-nucleotide long non-coding RNA is filed under the name Homo sapiens (human). RNAcentral describes it as "HSALNT0063427". Lineage: Eukaryota; Metazoa; Chordata; Mammalia; Primates; Hominidae. The record is from RNAcentral.